RNAcentral lists this long non-coding RNA (259 nucleotides) under Mustela putorius furo (domestic ferret). RNAcentral's name for it is "lncRNA (ENSMPUG00000032098.1)". Lineage: Eukaryota; Metazoa; Chordata; Mammalia; Carnivora; Mustelidae. The record is from RNAcentral.
GGUCCCUGAUUAUUCAUAGCACCUAGUGAGCCUCCAAGAGAGCCCUUAAAUGAAUGAACAAAUUAAAGAGGAAAUGCAAGAGUUAUUGGAAGAUUUACCAAAUCACAGUGUCAGGAAGACAAUUCGGGCAGCAACGUGUACGAUGAUUGAGGGAAGACAUCAGAGUCAGCAGCAAGAGGGAUCCUCAAGCUCUAAAAAUAGCUCAGAUGGAAAAAUGGAAGCAUUGAAAGUUUGCCUUUUCUUCACGCUUGCGUCCUAG